AACGAACGCUGGCGGCAUGCCUAACACAUGCAAGUCGAACGGGUCCUUCGGGUUUAGUGCCGCAUGGGUGCGUAGCGCGUGGGAACCUGCCCUGAGAUUCGCCUUAACUUCCCGAAUGGGGUGCUGAUACCGGAUAUUGUCUUCGGACCGUAGUUUGAUCGCCUUUGGUGGGGCCGGCGUUGUAUUAGCUAGUUGGUAGGGUAAAAGCCUACCAAGGGGUCGAUGCAUAACUGGUCUGAGAGGAUGAUCAGCCACACUGGGAGUGAGACACGGCCCAGACUCCUACGGGAGGCAGGAGUGGGGAAUAUUGCACAGUCGGCGAAAGCCUGAUGGAGCAAUGCCGGGUGAGUGAUGAAGGCCUUGGGGUUGUAAAGCUCGUUUAUCCGGGAGGGUUAUGACGGUACCGGGAGAAUAAGCGCCGGCUAACUCCGUG
RNAcentral lists this ribosomal RNA (433 nucleotides) under uncultured bacterium. RNAcentral's name for it is "partial 16S ribosomal RNA". It matches the Rfam family "Bacterial small subunit ribosomal RNA", at positions 29 to 507 of the family's 1533-position model. The record is from RNAcentral.